This 1218-nucleotide ribosomal RNA is filed under the name Triticum aestivum (bread wheat). Its description in RNAcentral is "partial small subunit ribosomal RNA". Lineage: Eukaryota; Viridiplantae; Streptophyta; Magnoliopsida; Poales; Poaceae. The record is from RNAcentral.
AUGGACGCACGCGCCGGCACCCCGCUCACCCCGUCCUAUAGCCGCGACCCCCCCGCCCCCGCCGCCGCCGCCACAAACCCUAGCCCGGGUGGCGUUGGCCUCGCCUCCGCCGGAGCUCCUCCGACGAGCGGCCUUGCGAGCGGCCUCUUCAUGCCGCCGCGGAUGACCUCGGCGGCGGGUGGCGUCGCGCCGGCACCGGCCCGAGCCGCCGCCGCCUCCUCCUCAAAGCUCCCCAAUGCGGCGCGGCCAAAAAAGGGCAAGACAUCAGCGAAGGAAAACAAGGCGGCGAACGGCUCUGGCACCUCCAAGGCGAAGAGGAAGGAGCUUGCGGGGCGUGCGACGGGCGCGGCGGCUGCCGAAGCGUCGGCAAGCUCACUCGUUGAGCCGGCGGCCGGCGCGCACAGCAUGUUCGACGAAAUGCCUCCAAGUCUCAAUGAUGAUGCAUACAUGUCAACGAUGGGUGUUGGCUCCAACAAUUCGCAUUGGUCUCAAACCAAUGACAUGCAUUUUCAAGACCAUGAGUUCGAGGUGGACGAGGAGGGUGAGGGCAUUGUCGACGCACCGAAAGGAAGAGCGGGCAAUUACACCAACACCGAUGACAUCUUACUAUGCAAUACUUGGUUGCAAGUGUCGAGGGAUCCAUCCGUUGGAGGUGAUCAAAGUAGAGAUGCUUAUUGGAACCGGAUGAAGGAACACUUUGAUGCUCGCAACGUGAGUGGAAUUGACUGCUCCAACCGAUCACUUAGGUCCCGGUGGUCGACAAUCAACUCAGAUUGUCAAAGGUGGGCGGCUUGUCAAAAGGCGGUUGACAAGUUGAACCCAAGUGGCACAAAUGAGGACGAUAGAUACAACAUUGCGCAAAACUUGUUCAAAGAAGAGGAGAGGAAAACCAAGAAGGGGAAGAUCAAGAAAGGAAGGGUCUUUACUUUGCCUCAUUGGAGGCAUGGGUGGCAUGGGUGGCAUGGGUGGCAUGGAAGUUUUGCUUCUCUCAUGGGAGGCAUGGGUGCACCUCCGGCCGCCAUGGGCGGAAUGUCUUUCGAUGAGCCUCCUCGCACACAUUCCCAUGAAGAUGCCGUUGAAGAUCUUGCCAACACCAUCGGAGCUUCACGUGAUGCGGUGCGCGAUGAGGAGAGGGAGGAAGAUUCAUCUUCGGAGGCGGAAGAAUCGUCUUCCGAAGAUGAGGACGAGGACGAAGACGAGGAGGAGGACGAGGAAUGA